Molecule: ribosomal RNA, 105 nt
Filed under: uncultured bacterium
Lineage: Bacteria
Description: partial 16S ribosomal RNA
Source: RNAcentral
CCCGUCACACCACUGGGAGUUGGUCUUACCCGACGGCGCCUGCGCCAACCUGCCUGGGAAACUUGGUUGGAGGCAGGCGACCACGGUAGGGUCAGCGACUGGGUG